RNAcentral lists this transfer RNA (76 nucleotides) under Candidatus Asgardarchaeum californiense. RNAcentral describes it as "tRNA-Gln". It matches the Rfam family "tRNA". From Rfam's summary of the family: Transfer RNA (tRNA) molecules are approximately 80 nucleotides in length. Their secondary structure includes four short double-helical elements and three loops (D, anti-codon, and T loops). Further hydrogen bonds mediate the characteristic L-shaped molecular structure. tRNAs have two regions of fundamental functional importance: the anti-codon, which is responsible for specific mRNA codon recognition, and the 3' end, to which the tRNAs corresponding amino acid is attached (by aminoacyl-tRNA synthetases). tRNAs cope with the degeneracy of the genetic code in two manners: having more than one tRNA (with a specific anti-codon) for a particular amino acid; and 'wobble' base-pairing, i.e. permitting non-standard base-pairing at the 3rd anti-codon position. Lineage: Archaea; Promethearchaeati; Candidatus Asgardarchaeia (ex Tamarit et al. 2024); Candidatus Asgardarchaeales (ex Tamarit et al. 2024); Candidatus Asgardarchaeaceae. The record is from RNAcentral.
AGAGGCAUAGCUCAACUGGUAGAGCACAAGAUUUUGAUUCUUGUGGCUGAAGGUUCAAGUCCUUCUGCCUCUUCCA